CUGGCCUAUUCCUGUCCCUUGGAACAUGAGUAGAGCUCUGAUGGAUCAGACCAAAGGCCCAUCUAAUCCAGCAUCCUAUGCCUAAUGUAGCCAACCAAAUGCCUCUGGGAAGACAAAAAGCAGGACGCACAGCUAUCAGCACUCUUCCAAGUUGCGCUCUUCUUUUAACAGAGAAUGGAGAAAUUAGCAGGUAAUGUUUUCCACAACAUGGAGCUAAACCUGGUCAAACUGCUGCAGAUCAAAUUGCUACUGAAGAGACUACUGGGGGGGGGGGGUAGUUCAAAAAGAAGCCCCAAAAGGAGCCAACCCUGCAUCUGACCUAGCCUAGUGAAUAUAUUUAAAGGAUUCUAAUAUCAAUGAUAGCGUAAGAUGAAAAGAGCUUACAGAGAGCAAGACUGUUAAGGGCACUUAAAUAAAUUGAUUGUCUGGAAAUGCUGGAUCUGCAUGCAGGUGUAUUGAUUCACUAAGCAGCCUUCUCGAUGAAUAACCCCCUGACUCUGAACUGACUCAGCCCAUCCAGGCCUUGCACAGGGCACCAUAAUAAGAAAGAUCACCAAAGUCCACCCCUGUGGGAACUACAGCAUGCUGAGAAUUGUUAGGAGGCCCCUGAGUGGUUUAACAAUCAAUCCAUCUUCUCAGGGAUUCUGGGAAUUGUAGUUCUGGAAAUUGAGGUCUCCUAACUCUCAGUACCCUAUCCUGAUAAAUGUAUCCAAGGUAGUACAGCAGGGAAAGAGAAAGCUUUGAGAGGCUCCUGCCACUCAGAGACCCCCUAUUCCCCUCACAGAAAUAAUAAUUCUCAAAAGUGGUCAAAAAAUCAAUCCCUCUUCCCAGGGAACUCUGGGAAUUGUAGUUCUGUGCGGGGAAUUGGGGUCUUCUCACAACUCUCAGCAUCCUUAGCAUAGUUCCCAGGAUUCUUUGGGAGAAGCCACAACUGUUAAAGUGGUAUAAUAAUGCUUUAAAUGUAUGGUGUGGAUAUGGCCUAUGUUUUGCAUUGUGAUUUUUUUUUUAAACAAAAAACAAGCCUUCACUGUCAGCAUUUGCUGAAGGUUCCAAACACAUGUACACAGUAUGAGAGAAAGGGUGGGGGCUAGGAUAGCGAGAGGAAGAACAUGAUAGUCACUGUGUGAGUUUUGAAAUGUGAGGAACUUUCCUAAGUUAUCAUCACUCAUGUGGGUCCACAAGUGGCUGGACAAAUGGGGGGCAGCUUUGCCUUCAGAAAGUAUUGCUGGUCUCACGUUCCACUGCUCAAAGAGCUUGGUUCUUAUAGCUUGAUUUACAGCCGAUUUAAAAAUACUCAUUCAUGAUAUACUGCCCUAAAGAAAUUUCACUCAGGUUUGAUGAAUUGUGGAAAGUUAUUUAACAGAGCAAUCCUAUACAGGGCUAUUCAGAAGAAAGUCCCAUUGAGUUCCAUAUGGGUUUCACUCCCAGGUAGGUGGAGAGUCAACUGCACCCUUAGUUUUCUUUUAAGCAAUUCCCUUUUUAUGAGUGCAGCUACAGCAUACCGUACAUAUGCCCAUGCACUUGAUCCAUCUGGUGACCAUGCACUGAUAUAAGUAGACAGCCACAGGCAUAUCCCUGGCCUAUCUAUCUAUUGAUUGAUUGAUUGAAUGAUUGAAUUUAUAUCCCACCUUUUUCUCCAAGGAGCUCAAGGUGGUAUACAUGGUUUCCCCCCUCCCCAUUUAAUCCCCACAAGUUAGGCUGAGAGGGAGUGGUUGGCCCAGCUUCAUAACUGUGUGGAAAUUUGAACUCUUGUCUCCCAAGUCCUAGUCUGAGACUCUAACCACUACACCACACUGGCUAAAAUCUGGGUGAUCAGCUAUUUGGGUUUCAGUCCCUCUCCCUCCCCUUCACUCUCAAACAGCUGAUAAUUGAUAUUUCAGCUUUUUAAAAAAGUCUAUACAUGCAUAGUCCCAAAUACACUUUACUAGACUGGAGGUUUAAAUUUUUAGCUCUAUAUUUAGAAGAUGUUGUAUUCACAGUAGUUUUUUGUUUUUUUAACCUGACUAUAUGAAGUGGCUCUAAACAAGCUUUCCCUAACCUGGUGCCCAGGAGAUAUUUUAGACUACAAUUCCCAUCAACCCCAGCCAGUACAAGCAGGGAGUUGUAGUUGUAGUCUAAAAACAUCUGGAGGGUGCCACGUUGGUAAACAAGCUCCGCUGAUGUGACAGUGUUUGCUACAGAGGCAUUAUGAGUACAUCCCUGGUCAUAUCCUUUAUUAUCAGGGGAAAUGUUAUUCCUCUGUCUAACAGAUAAUUGGCCAUAUUUUCUACCAUGGAGAUAUCAAUUUAUUUCUAAUAGAUCUAUAAAUCAAUGCAUUCUCAAACCUUGUUCAUAAGGUUCACACAAGACCCCCUUUUCUAAUGCGUUGCAUCUAUGCCCUCAUUUGCAUUAUGACCCCAGGAGGCUAAAAGUUUUAAUUGGCAAAUCAAUUGGAUAUUUUGUUUUCUAGUUCCACCUCAAUAUAUGCUGAAUAUACAAACAUCGUCUUAAUGAUCACCCUUCUCUAAUUAUACAUGUCACAUCCAUUGUGACCUUCAAAUUGCAAAAUCUGAGCGAUCUCAUUCCAAAGUUGGAGAGAUUCCCUCCUUCUAAUACCAAAUCAUAGUUCUUCCCCAAGCAGAGCUACAUGGGUUUUAGAGCUUGAGCUCCCACCAAUAAGCUGUUGACGUCAUCACUUUGAGCUCCGGCAGCAGGUGUCCCAGAGAGACGGAGCUCAUCCGGAAUUGUAGCUAUGUUGGCACCAGAUACUUGGGACGGGACAAGCUGCCUCCAUUAGGGAAGUAUGUAACCCUCAGAUGAGGGUGAGGAGGAGAGCCAGGAGUGCUGCUAACACCAAGCAUGAUCCAGCAGCGGAGAGCAAGAGCUUGUGGCAACAAAAGCGGUGGCUUUAUAUUUUAACUUUGCAGCGUGCUCCUGUAAUGCAGAAUUAACAGUGGUGAUGCAAAUAAUGGCAUGUCCUCCUGCUGCUACAGCAUUGUCCCAAAUACAGCCACAACACGUGGCUAAUAAGUAUGGUAAAUGUUUCUGUCACACAGCAUUGUCCCAGGCAGGCCACAGUUAUUUGGCUCGUAGCUAGAGAGAACUUUUAUAAAGGAUUAGACAAAUCUAUGGAGGAUAAGGCUAUCAGUGGCUGCUAGCAGUGAUGGCUAUGUUCACCCUACAAGGUCAAAGGUGGUGUGUUUCUGGGCAUUGCAAGUGGGGAGAGUGCUAUUGUACUUAUGGCCUUCUGAGAGGCACAUCACUGGCCACUGAGAAAGGGAGACUGGUCUAGAGACUGGGCUUUUAGCCUGAGCCAUCAGGCCUCUUCUUGUAUUUUACCCCAGACCCUAAUUACAGGGAAAACUAAACAGGCAGGAUUUCUCUCUGUGGACGAGAAGCUGAAAGGCCAGUAUGACUUGUGUAUUUAUUUUUGCAUUCAUGCAUAAGCUACUAUUUAUAGAUCAGCCUAUAAUGGAGGUUUUCUGGAUAGACUUACAAAGAUAAGAAUGAGUUAAAAUAAACACAAUUACAAUAAAGAUACAAUAAAACACAGCAAGCAAAAACAAUACUAUAGCAUCAGAAAGACCACUUUAAAAAAAACAGAACAGAGGGUCACCACAGAUUAAGUAAGUUAAAAACACUAAACAACUUCACAAAGGGAAAUUUGUGGUAAACUACUGCAUACGUUUAAAGGCCUGGGUAAAUAGAAAAGAUAUUUUCCUUGUGCCAGAAAUCCAUCAGUGUAGGUGCCCGGUGAAGGGACUGCAUUUCACAGCCAUGAGGCCAUUGCUGAAAAGGCCUCUUCACAUCUGGUCACCUGCUGCUCAAAGGGGCACUUGGAGAAUGGCUUCAAGACAUAGAUAGGUAGGCACAUGGGAGAAGGGGCAAUGCUUCAAGAGCUCAAACUGUGAAAGGCUUUAAAGAUAAAUGUCAACACUUAAUUAGAACCAGUAUCCAGUAUCGGUGGCUUAAUAUCCCCAUAAUGCCCAGCCUCUUUCAGUGCAGUAGCAGAAGUAUUGUGUACCCUUCCCAGCCUAUAUUUGUUAAGAUCUUCUGGAUCCAAUGAUGUUUUUUCUGGAGUGAUCACACUACCACCUCCUUUAAGGAGCAUAGAACCAUAGCAUCUUUUAAUGACAUAUUCCCCACCUCCUGGACCAGCCAAGCUAUCCUUUCCUUGCUAGAUGCAAUGAGCGGGGGGGGGGGGUGCGUCCAAGCAUACCUGUGGAUGGUUGGGCUUCUACAAACACUUUUUCCACAUCCUCAGGUCCUAAGAACUGAAAAUCAUCCAGCAAAAAAAAACCAGACAACGCCACUCACACCUCCACUGAUUGGAAUUAAAUAUGGAGUCCAAAUUGUGACAGAUACAAAUGCUAUUUCCUACUGUGUCGUAUUUUAAAAGACCACAGACCACUCAGAAAAGCUCCGCAGUGACAUUCGGCAGACAAUGAUGGUGGAGAACAACAGCUUUUUCGAUGCCAUUGCCACUAGAGCCAAAGCAGUCGUGAUUUGUUUCUGGUUGGACUGGAAGUUUUGUGAGUGGGAGGGAGAGAGGGAAUAUUCUAGAAUGCAUCUCAUUCCAGUUCUGAAUCAAGCAGCAUUACCUUCUGUCAUAGGCAUAUAGAAGUGUUUCACAUUACCUCUGAUGUAGCUUCACUCCUCAGCUCCUACCAUCAGAAGACUUGGAAAUUUGUCAGCUAAGCUUAAUGUUACACUACAGUUUACCUUAACUGUUGGGUGUUUGCCGACUUCCCGUAAUAACAGCAUCUGCCACUGAUUAAUUAGGUGUUGCUUUUCUCACCAGUCUUCAGGACAGCCAUGAGGUGAAUUACUGUUCAGGGUUUGAAGAAAACACCUCAGAAACUGAG
RNAcentral lists this long non-coding RNA (4844 nucleotides) under Podarcis lilfordi (Lilford's wall lizard). The record is from RNAcentral. Lineage: Eukaryota; Metazoa; Chordata; Lepidosauria; Squamata; Lacertidae.